CCUACGGGAGGCACCAGUAGGGAAUCUUCGGCAAUGGACGAAAGUCUGACCGAGCAACGCCGCGUGAGUGAAGAAGGUUUUCGGAUCGUAAAACUCUGAUGUUAGAGAAGAACAAGUAGGAGAGUAACUGCUCUUACCUUGACGGUAUCUAACCAGAAAGCCACGGCUAACUACGUGCCAGCAGCCGCGGUAAUACGUAGGUGGCAAGCGUUGUCCGGAUUUAUUGGGCGUAAAGCGAGCGCAGGCGGUCUUUUAAGUCUGAUGUGAAAGCCCUCGGCUCAACCGAGGAAGGUCAUUGGAAACUGGAGGACUUGAGUGCAGAAGAGGAGAGUGGAAUUCCAUGUGUAGCGGGGAAAUGCGUAGAUAUAUGGAGGAACACCAGUGGCGAAGGCGAAUCUCUGGUCUGUAACUGACGCUGAGGCUCGAAAGCGUGGGGAGCAAACAGGAUUAGAUACCCCCGUAGUC
This 465-nucleotide ribosomal RNA is filed under the name uncultured bacterium. RNAcentral's name for it is "bacterial SSU rRNA". It matches the Rfam family "Bacterial small subunit ribosomal RNA", at positions 338 to 795 of the family's 1533-position model. The record is from RNAcentral.